CCUACGGUGUGCAGCAGUGGGGAAUAUUGGACAAUGGGCGAAAGCCUGAUCCAGCCAUGCCGCGUGUGUGAAGAAGGCCUUCGGGUUGUAAAGCACUUUCAGUGGGGAAGAAAGCCUUGGGGCUAAUACCCUCGAGGAAGGACAUCACCCACAGAAGAAGCACCGGCUAACUCCGUGCCAGCAGCCGCGGUAAUACGGAGGGUGCGAGCGUUAAUCGGAAUUACUGGGCGUAAAGCGCGCGUAGGCGGUCUGAUAAGCCGGUUGUGAAAGCCCCGGGCUCAACCUGGGAACGGCAUCCGGAACUGUCAGGCUAGAGUGCAGGAGAGGAAGGUAGAAGUCCCGGUGUAGCGGUGAAAUGCGUAGAGAUCGGGAGGAAUACCAGUGGCGAAGGCGGCCUUCUGGACUGACACUGACGCUGAGGUGCGAAAGCGUGGGUAGCAAACAGGAUUAGAUACCCCUGUAGUC
Molecule: ribosomal RNA, 465 nt
Filed under: Vreelandella stevensii
Lineage: Bacteria; Pseudomonadati; Pseudomonadota; Gammaproteobacteria; Oceanospirillales; Halomonadaceae
Description: partial 16S ribosomal RNA
Rfam family: Bacterial small subunit ribosomal RNA
Source: RNAcentral